Long non-coding RNA from Cervus elaphus (red deer), 500 nucleotides. RefSeq lists it as uncharacterized. The record is from RefSeq and is a predicted model, not a curated record. NCBI's taxonomy places the organism in Eukaryota, Metazoa, Chordata, Mammalia, Artiodactyla, Cervidae. The transcript has 4 exons.
CCAGGGGUCCUCUAAAGUCCAAGGUGCUGUCUGGAUGUUAGGCUGGGGGCAGUGACCUGGUGUGAAGGUUGCAGGUGGGCCUCUAUUUAGAUGGAACCCAAGAGCGGAAGAGGGUUCUGCUGCUGAGAAAACGUUUGGUGAACUUCACUACCCACUCCUGAUUCACUGAACAUGGUCACGGAUAUUCCUUUCAUGGGAUAAAGAAAAUAGUGGCAGACUCGGCAAGGUGGAUAUGACACCAGGAGUUGUGGCAGUCAUGUUGUAACACUGAGGCAGAACACAUGAAAAAGAGGCAAAGUCCUUAUGGAGACAGGGCUUGACAUGGCUGAGCUGUUGAACCUAGGCCAGCAGCUGUCAACUCACAGGCCUCUUGUAAUCUGAGCCAGCUACCUGCUAAAGGAGGGUGGAGAGCCAGGAUCAGAGCUGGAGGAACUGCGAUCUGAAAUGUUUGACAGCCUCGGGCUGGGGCAGCCUUUGGGGCUACUUCACAGACAGCCAAG